This is a long non-coding RNA of Drosophila miranda, 1603 nucleotides long. RefSeq lists it as uncharacterized. NCBI's taxonomy places the organism in Eukaryota, Metazoa, Arthropoda, Insecta, Diptera, Drosophilidae. The record is from RefSeq and is a predicted model, not a curated record. The transcript is spliced from 2 exons.
GCUCACGGCGAGGGCAAGGAUGCUGCGGGAUGCUGGAAAGGUGGCUGGCACGGCAGGCAAUAAGCGAACGAACUGCGCAAAUUUACGAUAACAGCAGCCGCAGCAGCAACAGCAACAACAACCACCUCUACUACAACAACCAUGCGAUGUGGAAUAUCCUCAGCACCUUCACGGUCCGAUGGUUUGUUUUCGAUCGCGCCGUCUGCCAAGAGACUGCGGGACUUGAUUUGACCAAAAUACUUACGGGUCUCUUUCGCUUUGCAGCGACAUGGCUUGCCAGGGCUGCACACCGCUGGCUCUCCUCGGGCACGAAAGACUUGCGUGCAGCUUACCACUCAGAGUACGCAGAUCGAAGCAGAUCGUUUUUACCAUGAGAGCGGAUCGUUUUACACCAGCCCUGGUAGGCAAUGUAAAACUCGCUAUUGAGCCAGAGGAUCGGCUAGGUGUUUCAUCAAAUGCUCUACAUCAAAUUGAACUUGGAUGGUGGACAUUGAAGCCUGCUGUUCCUUUUUAAAUAAGGUAUUCUCCAUUCCAUAUUUUAUUUUAUUUAAUACCAUUACGAAGGAGGAAAUGCGUAAACUAGAGAUAAAAGAGCCUCUGCCUAAGCUCGCACUCACAUACCCACCAAUUUCCAGCGUAGGAGAUUAAGCGUAGUUUUCUCUUUUGUGGUCGGAGUUGCGGACUCACUCACACACACAGUCACAGCUUGGAGCGAACAUAUGUCCGCCUAGGUGUGUGUAUGUGUGGAUAUUUCUGCUUGUUUACCUGUUGCUGCUCGUCAAUUGUUUUUACAUUUAGCCAGAAAAAUGUUUUCCUUCUACAACUGCGAGAACAGGCAACUAGUUCCGCACUGGUGCCGCACUAGCUACCAUUCUCACCUCCCUGGUUCCAGAUCGAUUACCCGCAAUGUAUUUCAGCGGAGAAUUUAACACAUGCAUGUCCUAGGGCGGAACCACCCCUGGUUCCCACUCGAUUACCCUUCGAUUACCCUUAGCUAGUUGCUCAGGAGGUAGUUCCGAACUAGUUACGAGUAGAAAGCCAGCAACUAGUUCCCCACUUGACUACCCCUCGAUUACCUGUAGCUAGCUCUGACCUAGUUACCAGUAACUAGUUCCGAACUGACUACUGGUGGUAGUAGUCAAUCUGGCAGUCUGGAAUAAUACAAAAAUAAAAACUCAAUGUCUUUCAAUAUAACGAAUAAUUUUUAAUUAUAUGAUGCUUAGCCUACUCCUGGUUUUUGGCAAGACACUUCUUUUUAAACACCCUUUUCUUCAUCCUUUGCAUUGCCUUCCGUACAGUGUUUUCGGGGGGCUCAUCGCCAGGCGGAAUACAUUCUGUAAUUAAUAUUUAUUUUAAUUUAUAUGAAAAAUUUUUACCAGUAACUAGUUCCGAACUGACUACUGGUGGUAGUAGUCAAUCUGGCAGUCUGGAAUAAUACAAAAAUAAAAACUCAAUGUCUUUCAAUAUAACGAAUAAUUUUUAAUUAUAUGAUGCUUAGCCUACUCCUGGUUUUUGGCAAGACACUUCUUUUUAAACACCCUUUUCUUCAUCCUUUGCAUUGCCUUCCGUACAGUGUUUUCGGGGGGCUCAUCGCCAGGCGGAA